UACGUAGGGGCGUAGCGUUAUCCGGAAUUACUGGGCGUAAAGGGUGCGUAGGUGGUUUCUUAAGUCAGAGGUGAAAGGCUACGGCUCAACCGUAGUAAGCCUUUGAAACUGGGAAACUUGAGUGCAGGAGAGGAGAGUGGAAUUCCUAGUGUAGCGGUGAAAUGCGUAGAGAUUAGGAAGAACACCAGUGGCGAAGGCGAUUCUCUGGACCGUAACUGACGCUGAGGCUCGAAAGCGUGGGGAGCAAACAGGAUUAGAUACCCGGGUAGUCCCUGAGCGGGCU
This 283-nucleotide ribosomal RNA is filed under the name uncultured prokaryote. RNAcentral's name for it is "partial 16S ribosomal RNA". It matches the Rfam family "Bacterial small subunit ribosomal RNA", at positions 524 to 817 of the family's 1533-position model. The record is from RNAcentral.